RNAcentral lists this ribosomal RNA (504 nucleotides) under uncultured bacterium. Its description in RNAcentral is "partial 16S ribosomal RNA". It matches the Rfam family "Bacterial small subunit ribosomal RNA", at positions 30 to 523 of the family's 1533-position model. The record is from RNAcentral.
AUUGAACGCUGGCGGCAGGCCUAACACAUGCAAGUCGAACGGUAGCACAGAGAGCUUGCUCUCGGGUGACGAGUGGCGGACGGGUGAGUAACGUCUGGGAAACUGCCCGAUGGAGGGGGAUAACUACUGGAAACGGUAGCUAAUACCGCAUAACGUCGCAAGACCAAAGUGGGGGACCUUCGGGCCUCACACCAUCGGAUGUGCCCAGAUGGGAUUAGCUAGUAGGUGGGGUAAUGGCUCACCUAGGCGACGAUCCCUAGCUGGUCUGAGAGGAUGACCAUCCACCCUGGAACUGAGACACGGUCCAGACUCCUAAGGGAGGCAGCAGUGGGGAAUAUUGCACAAUGGGCGCAAGCCUGAUGCAGCCAUGCCGCGUGUAUGAAGAAGGCCUUCGGGUUGUAAAGUACUUUCAGCGGGGAGGAAGGCGGUGAAGUUAAUAGCUUCACCGAUUGACGUUACCCGCAGAAGAAGCACCGGCUAACUCCGUGCCAGCAGCCGCCGUAA